CGAGGCAAAAGUUUAAAGUUUGAGUUUGUGAGAGAAGAAAAGAAAUGAAGAAAAACAUGGGAAAGUCGGUGUCUAGUCCAGAAGCACAUGCAUGCGAGAUAACAACGGAGGAAUUGAUCUCCAUGUUCCCAUCACGCAAACAAGAAAAACAAAGCAGCAAAUGUUUGGUCUACACUUUGGCUUCCUUUGUUACCCUUUUCUUCGUUUGGUUUGUUUUUGCAUCCAUCGUGUUGCGCGUCCAAGAUCCCGAUAUUGAAUUGAAAUCAGCCAGGUUGUCGAGGCACAACACUGAUCAUCAUCACUAUAAUCAUUCCUUUGAUGUCACCAUGAUCGCUCGCGUGACCCUUACGAACCCAAAUUUCGGUCCUUUCUAUAACGGGGACAGUAGAGUGAGUGUGCUCUAUGGGGCUUCCACUGUUGGUGCUUCCCAAUUAUUGGAAGGUGCCACAGUGGAGCCUAGACAAACCAAGGAAUUCAAUUUCAAGCUACACAUGAGGUUCACCAAAUCGGCCAAUGCAAAUCUAACCAAUGAUAUCACUUCAGGCAUGCUCAAACUCACAAGCUACGCAAAACUAAGUGGUACGGUGCACGUCCUCAACAUCGUAAACAAGAAAAAGACCAUACUCAUGGCUUGUAUUAUAAAUCUCAACAUAACCUCCUACUCCAUUCACCAUUUCCAAUGCUAAUGCAGAAGUGAAGUGAUAAUGUUGGUGGUACUAGCAUGUUGAGAGUGAUUGAGAUGAUCUUGGCUAGCACUUAGCAAUGUUUAUGGUGGUGGAUCAAUCGUUGGUGUGGCUUGCUAUAAACAUUAUAACGCUGAAGCAAGUAAGAACUUUAACCAAGUUUCAGUAAUAGAAUUGGAGAAAGAAAGCUGAGAUAAGCAUUUGUAUGGUGUAUUUAUAGAAGAAUGUGAUGGGGCAUCCUGUUAGUCCAUGCUUAACAUUGACAUGAGAUCCACUCUCGAGAAUGGACAUGUGUGUGUUCUAACACCUGUCAUGCAUUUUGCAUUAGGCCUUUACAGUGACUCAUACAAAUCCAAAAUUUCCUCAC
Long non-coding RNA from Cajanus cajan (pigeon pea), 1050 nucleotides. RefSeq lists it as uncharacterized. NCBI's taxonomy places the organism in Eukaryota, Viridiplantae, Streptophyta, Magnoliopsida, Fabales, Fabaceae. The record is from RefSeq and is a predicted model, not a curated record.